Molecule: ribosomal RNA, 329 nt
Filed under: uncultured eukaryote
Lineage: Eukaryota
Description: partial 18S ribosomal RNA
Rfam family: Eukaryotic small subunit ribosomal RNA
Source: RNAcentral
CCCUUAGAUGUUCUGGGCCGCACGCGCGCUACACUGAUGCAUUCAACGAGUCUAAAACCUGCUCUGAUAGGGGUGGGUAAUCUUUUGAAUGUGCAUCGUGAUUGGGAUAGAUGAUUGCAAUUUUUCAUCUUCAACGAGGAAUGCCUAGUAAACGCAAGUCAUCAGCUUGCAUUGAUUACGUCCCUGCCCUUUGUACACACCGCCCGUCGCUCCUACCGAUUGAAUGAUCCUAUGAAUAUCAUGGAUUGAGGAUGCAAGUAGGUUAGCCUAUCUUCAUCUUCGAGAAGUGAAGUAAAUCUUAUCAUUUAGAGGAAGGAGAAGUCGUAACA